Molecule: ribosomal RNA, 491 nt
Filed under: uncultured bacterium
Lineage: Bacteria
Description: partial 16S ribosomal RNA
Rfam family: Bacterial small subunit ribosomal RNA
Source: RNAcentral
AGUGAACGCUGGCGGUAGGCCUAACACAUGCAAGUCGAACGGCAGCACAGUAAGAGCUUGCUCUUACGGGUGGCGAGUGGCGGACGGGUGAGGAAUACAUCGGAAUCUACUUUUUCGUGGGGGAUAACGUAGGGAAACUUACGCUAAUACCGCAUACGACCUACGGGUGAAAGCAGGGGAUCUUCGGACCUUGCGCGAUUGAAUGAGCCGAUGUCGGAUUAGCUAGUUGGCGGGGUAAAGGCCCACCAAGGCGACGAUCCGUAGCUGGUCUGAGAGGAUGAUCAGCCACACUGGAACUGAGACACGGUCCAGACUCCUACGGGAGGCAGCAGUGGGGAAUAUUGGACAAUGGGCGCAAGCCUGAUCAAGCCAUACCGCGUGGUGAAGAAGGCCUUCGGGUUGUAAAGCCCUUUUGUUGGGAAAGAAAAGCAGCAGGUUAAUACCCCGCUGUUCUGACGGUACCCAAAGAAUAAGCACCGGCUAACUUCGUG